UUCACAGGUGCUUGGCAAGUAGCAGAGUCAGGAUUUGAACUAAGAUCAUUAGGACUCAAGGUUUGAAUGCAAUUCUAAGGAGAGGCUGUUAAAUCGAAGAAGGCAGAGCUCAGAAGCUGAAUGCAUUGCCCAAACUUAUGCUCAGGAAGAAAAUGUGGGAGAUGAGGAUUUACUGAUGAAGAAACUUUUAGAAAUUUCCUACUGCCAAAGAUGCAAACAUGUGACAUUUAUGAACAUGUCCUAGAAGAAAAUGUGGGAGAUGAGGAUUUACUGAUGAAGAAACUUUUAGAAAUUUCCUACUGCCAAAGAUGCAAACAUGUGACAUUUAUGAAAGGUGCUCCUGGUUCUCAAUCACACUGCUUCAAAGAAUGAAGAGGUAGACCAGACAAAGAGUGGUGGGCAGCAAAGCAAAGUUUCUGACAGUAAAGUUUAUUGAAUGAUUGUACAAAGCUCCCAAAGAGGGAAGGGACCGGAGAGGGUUACCUUAUACUUUUUUCUCUUCAUUCUCCUCCUCUUGAUAAUUUUCUUCCACUUCUCAUUACUGAGUUAUAUAUGUUUUUAUUAUGUCUCAGCACUUGGCAUGAAGUUGUUGACGUCAAAUCCACUUAACCAUAUUUGAGAGAUUGAUAAUUGUGCUCUUUUAGUAAUGACGGAAUGCAGCACGAACACAUACUCCUCAUAUAAUCAGCUCACUCCCAUAAUUGCAAUAAACUCUAUUCUGAAAUGUUAUCUAUUGAGAACCAUAAAACUUUUAAACCGCCAAGAGGACAUUUGCUACACUUGUAAGUAAUAGAAUCUUAGAUUGUUAGCCAUGAAAGAGGUCUAAUUUUGUACAGGAGGAAACAGCAGCCCAGGGAUCUUUGUGCAAAUUGAUUACUUUCAUCAUAGCAAUCUAACUUGCGUAACAUAAAGUCAAUGAUAUCAUUUCUUUAUAGCGUUUAUUAAAUGAGUUUGUAAUGCCUACUUCCAUAGUUGAUUUGGUUUUGGAGGCGUGUAUUAUAAUGCAUGCAAAGUUGAAAAUGCCUUUUGCACCUUUUAGUCAUGUAGUUUAUAAACAUAGAAACACUAGUAAAGAAAAAAGAAAAAAAGAGCAAAGAUACAGCAUAUUUCUUCCAGAUACUUGUGUUCCCUGGCAUGAAGUGUGGUUACAAGUCAGUGGAAUCACCUUAGGCCCUCAAAGUUAUAUUCCUAGAGUGGACAUGAAUAAAAGGCAUAGACCUAUGCUUUCCCUGUUAGAAUAUGCAUUAUAUGCUAAGUAGAAUCUUUGGCUAUUUGUGCCUCUCUGCAUCGAAGAACAAGAUAGCCAAGCCCAACCGCAUGUCCACUGUCUUUGACAUGGUUAUGGUUUUCUGAUGAUGACAAGUCCACAAAGCAAAUUCCAGUCUACGAUGUGACAGAGAAAAGGUUUUGUUCAAGGGGAAAGGGCAUGUCUCUUUUGUGGAUUCCUGGUUCAUGGUGGUAUCUGGAUAAGGAAGAAAGGCUGUCCCUGCACUUUUGACUGUGGGGUGCUUGGCUGCAUGUCCCAGUUCAGAUUCCAACACACCCUAUGUUGAAGAAGAAGCUUACAAGUCUGAACUUUGGUUUGGGCAACUGAGAAUGAAAGCAUUUUUCAUCUGAACUUUCUGUGCUUUAUGAACACCUCAAGGGAAACACCUUUAAUACUGGAGCCCUAAUAAAGAGCAUAAGAAAAUUUGUUUUUCUGGUGAAGAAAAAUCUUGAUGCACAAAACAGAUGAUACAAGCAACCCCGUUUCCCUAAAUGCUUGUUAUUUAAUCUACUUAAUAAAUUUUGAAUUCUUUGGAGAUAAAGCAAAAUGUAAGCAAAAAU
This is a long non-coding RNA of Nyctereutes procyonoides (raccoon dog), 1827 nucleotides long. RefSeq lists it as uncharacterized. The transcript has 4 exons. The record is from RefSeq and is a predicted model, not a curated record. NCBI's taxonomy places the organism in Eukaryota, Metazoa, Chordata, Mammalia, Carnivora, Canidae.